This is a non-coding RNA of Cinara cedri, 464 nucleotides long. The record is from the annotation of a GenBank genome assembly. NCBI's taxonomy places the organism in Eukaryota, Metazoa, Arthropoda, Insecta, Hemiptera, Aphididae.
CAAAACAAAGAUCAAAAUGCAUAUCAUUCCCAACCAAUAAUAUUGACAAAAAGAGGGUAAUCACUGGAUUUUAUGCCAGAAGUAAAUUUCCCAGAGUUAUAGGCACUGUGGGUGGUGUGAUCUAUACUCAUUUAAAAUUGCAAUCAUCAGGUAGGCAUAAAAUGUAAAUACUAUUGCCAUCUAUUCUGCACUAUGUAACCUUGAUUUAUCAUAACUAUAGGUGGAGAAAAUGGAUAAACUUUCAGAAACAGGAAAGUUUAUUUUUUCCCUAAUUUUCAAUGCAUUUGUUAUCAAUGGCUUAAAAUUAUGGAUCUAACAGCACGAUGGCCAGAGUCAUACCAUAAUCAGAUCUUUAUGAUAACUCAUCAAUUAAACGUUAAUUUGAAAGAGAGUUCCUAAAAGGAUACCUCAUAGGUGAUAGUAGUUAUGAAUCCACUAUUGACCUCUAGUUUAUAUAACUGCCA